UACGUAGGUGGCAAGCGUUAUCCGGAUUUAUUGGGCGUAAAGGGUGCGCAGACGGUUUAUUAAGUCUAAGAUAAAAGCCCGGGGCUUAACUCCGGUUUGUUUUAGAAACUGAUAGACUCGAGUAUGGUAGAGGCAAAUGGAAUUCCUAGUGUAGCGGUGGAAUGCGUAGAUAUUGGGAGGAACACCAGUGGCGAAGGCGAUUUGCUGGGCCAUUACUGACGUUCAUGCACGAAAGCGUGGGGAGCAAAUA
Molecule: ribosomal RNA, 250 nt
Filed under: uncultured prokaryote
Description: partial 16S ribosomal RNA
Rfam family: Bacterial small subunit ribosomal RNA
Source: RNAcentral